This 96-nucleotide ribosomal RNA is filed under the name Streptococcus suis. Its description in RNAcentral is "partial 16S ribosomal RNA". It matches the Rfam family "Bacterial small subunit ribosomal RNA", at positions 1446 to 1533 of the family's 1533-position model. Lineage: Bacteria; Bacillati; Bacillota; Bacilli; Lactobacillales; Streptococcaceae. RNAcentral also lists the same sequence under 2 other names. The record is from RNAcentral.
GAGCCAGCCGCCUAAGGUGGGAUAGAUGAUUGGGGUGAAGUCGUAACAAGGUAGCCGUAUCGGAAGGUGCGGCUGGAUCACCUCCUUUCUAAGGAA